GCACGUGCAGGUAUGCAAGAAGUACAUUUUCUUCCUUUCAAUCCAACUGAUAAGAGGACUGCAUUGACCUAUAUUGAUCAAGAUGGUAAAAUGUAUAGAGUAAGCAAAGGUGCACUAAACAGAUCCUACACCUUGCCCACAACAAAUCAGACAUCGAACACAGAGUUCAUGCAGUGAUUGAUAAGUUUGCAGAACGCGGUCUGCGAUCUCUUGCUGUAGCAUACCAGGAAGUUCCCGAUGGAAGGAAAGAAAGUGCUGCAGGCCCAUGGCAGUUUAUUGGCCUUAUGCCCCUCUUUGACCCACCUAGACAUGAUAGUGCCGAAACAAUACGGAGGGCACUAAAUCUCAGAGUAAAUGUCAAAAUGA
Molecule: non-coding RNA, 366 nt
Organism: Arachis ipaensis
Lineage: Eukaryota; Viridiplantae; Streptophyta; Magnoliopsida; Fabales; Fabaceae
Source: RefSeq, a predicted model, not a curated record